UUGCCGAUGCUCCUUCUCGCGUUAGAAUUGAAGAAUUUAACGUUAAUGAAGAAACUGCUUCGAAUGUAGCCACAAUCCAUUUCUCUGACGAAGACUCCGGAUACUACUACAACUUAUACUGAACUAACAACUGAGUUAGGGUUUUCACAAGUCUCAUAAAAUUAUAAGUUAUAACGAUUCGAAAACAUAGCAUUGAGAAUUGUAAAUGUGUAAACUCAUUUUUGUAUGAAAUCCAACAACAAUUUUUUUAAACAAGUGUAAAAAUUUAUGAUUUUACGAUGCUAUAUGACGGGUUGUGAGUACCCCAAGUUUAUAAAGGACAUAAUUAAAACUUAUUUUGUUAAACAAAAAUACAACAAUACUUAUGACAGAUGACAGAUGACGACGACUUUGUACGAUUGCAAAACAUUUAUAAUAUACUGAUCACUUCAAACAGAUUUAAAAUUUACAGAACCAUGAAGGAAUUAGAAAAUAUUAAAAAAAUAUACCAAAAUAUUACCACUCUAAUUACGUUAAGGAGAUAACUCAGUGGCGUAGCUACAACUUCGGGCGCCCGGGGCCAAGGAUGUUCUGCCGCCCCCUUUAUCUACCUACCUAAAUAUCUUCGAUAUUAAGUAUAUAAAAUUUAGGAAGGCCACGCAAAUUCUGAAGUUCCAAAAUUCUCACAAUACGGUUUUUGAGGAAAUUGAUAGUAAAUUUACAAGACAUCUUAUUAAAAGCCAUAAAAAAAAUCCAUUUUCGGCCUAUAUCUUGUACACUUUUGACACAAUUUUCAGAAUUUUUGUCCGAAUUGGAGUUUUAAAAAACAGCGAAGAUCGUUUUGCCGCCCCCAAGACCUUGCGCCCGGGGCGACACAAAUACAUCUACUUAGGUUAAAAUAUAUACAUACGAUAACCUAUUGAUAAGAUAUACAUUUUUGCAAUGCAAAUGUACACUUAAAAACAAUCCCAUACCCUGCAAAAAUUCCAUAACCGAUUCUCAAACACAUUCAAGCAUUUUUACCAAUACAUAAAAAAGCAUGUUGAAAAUUUGUAGUAAUGAUUGGCAAAAAGAAACAACAUCAAACUUUCACAUUAUGCUUUAUUCAUUCGCGCAUAUUGUGUGCAUAGGAAUGGAGCAAUGUUUCAUUUUACCGAAAAAGACCAAAACGAAGAAAAUGGUGUUGCCCAAUCGACAAAAUCAAUUAAUUUGCAAAGCUUUUUUAAAAAUUCGGGCAAAUUAGAAGAAGAGAAAGCAAUUCCACCUGUUGUGGCAUCUAUUUUCUUGUCAGUGGCAGCACGACAUAUGUAUCACAAUUAAUUGCAUAUUUACAAGUGAACGCGAAAGCCGCAAAAAGACGCGCGAGUGAAUUAACGAGAACAAAACAAUUACAUCAGAUAACAUAUCUUUUCACUUUAAAGGGCACUUCUGGGGAUAUUGGCGAAGUUAUGAAGCGAGUUUUUGGCGACGAAGUCCUCAGUUUGUUCAAUUGGAAUGGGAGGUGCGGGAAGAAAUCGCUUUCAGAAUUUAAAAUAGUUAGCGUGGCUCUAUUUGAAAUUUUCAAACUGCAUGGACGCAUCGACUUCGAAAAGGAAGUCCGAAAGAGCGUUGAGCAAAGCCACAACAGGCAAAAGCAAAAACGCUAUUUGCUGAACAAAAAAAACUUAUAACAAAAUUGUAAAUUUUUCUUAAAAUACUAAUAUAAAAGAAAACAUACAAA
Molecule: long non-coding RNA, 1699 nt
Organism: Bactrocera neohumeralis
Lineage: Eukaryota; Metazoa; Arthropoda; Insecta; Diptera; Tephritidae
Exons: 3
Source: RefSeq, a predicted model, not a curated record